CCCUUUGUGUAAGGCAGCUGCAGCACAUUUGAAUGUAUAUAGGGGGGAUUUGAAGGGACCAUUUUCCAUGGGCCAUCUGUCUCCCAGCCAGCAGCAGGAGCAGCAAGAGACAUAGCUGUAGAAUCAGACCUGCUGCAAGCCCUCUCCAGACAGAAGCACCAGGGACAGACAGCACACAGGACAGACAGCCUGCCAGGAUGGUACUAGUGCACGUCGGAUAUCUCGUACUUCCAGUAUUUGGCUCUGUGCGUAACAGAGCGCAGUUGAAAUCUACAUGCUGCUCUGUGGUGUGAGCCCCUCUGCAUUUAGCUGUAUUGUGGCACCCCUCUUAACCAUUUCCUGUUUCCAUCUGGAGAAAGCAUUGAUAAAUAUUUAACCCUGUCAGUGACAGAGGGUUGGGCAAGGCACUGCCAGACAAUGCCCAGCCCACACCUAUGGCACAGAUUGGGUUAAAGCGGCAGUAUCCCCCCUAUCUCAUGGCUGCUUUUGUGUUUUAUUGGGGGGGGGGGGGGGGGGACGGCUUACUAUCUGGGUAACCCUUGUGUUUGCAUGCAAAUGCAACCCUCCUUUUUUAUUAUGGCAUUUAUUACACCAUCUGGUUCACAGUUUCAUACUUUUAGUUCCUAAAUACGUCUUAUGGAAUCAUAAUUCUAAUCAUUUUUUAAUAUUUAGUUUUGAAUUGUAUUUUAGAUUUACUAAAAAAUAAUUGAGCUACUGCUUGAUUUGAUGAUCAUGGUAUAUAUGUAGUUUAUACACAUAAUAAACAAACAAACAAAAAAAAAAAGGCAAAAUGCAAAUGCAAAAAAAUUGGCAUGAAGUAAGCAAAUAAAAAUAGCCGCAAUAGGCUGGGAAAUUGUAGCCCCCAAUUUUCAAGACCGUCUCUCCCCAAGGGGUUUGAUGAAGAUUUAAGCCUGUGACAGAGGAUACUAAUGCUUAAAAAUGAAGAUGCUAAGAAUAAAAAAAAAACCUUUAUUUUCUUGUUAAACUUGUAGACUAUGUAACCUUGAACCUGUAUUUUUUUUUAGUUUCCAUUGUAGUAACAUAAGGUCAUUCUAGUAGAGCUGUAGAGAAUAACAGCCAUUUUUGUAUCUUCAUCUUGUCUAGCUAAGUACAUUGCACUGUAAAUUUCUGUUAAGUGGAUUCAUUUUGCUUCUUGGGAGAUUACACAUUUUUUCUUUGUUCUUUUUGUGUAACCACAGUAUUGGGGGAAAAAAAUAUAUAUAUGGGUAUAUAUAUUCAAAAUAUAAUGUAAACAAUUCAUUUACAAACAAUCAUAUAAAUGAAAAUGUAUAUAUCAGUAUCUUAUAUAUAAGAUGGGUUAUAUCUGCCUCUUUAAUCUAGAGAGCAAAAUAUAACAUUUUAUUCCACACUGAUUCUACAGUGUCUAUUCCAAGACUAUAAUCUCUAAUCAGAGUGAUGUGCAAAUUCCGCAUAAUUUUAUUAUUUACCCAUAAGCUUGCUGGCAAAAUGCAUUAUCCAUUUAACAGGGAUAUCCUCUUUUUCUGCUGUGCUAAAACAAUUUUCCUGUUCUGUAUCUGAAUCCUUUUUUUCAAUUUGUGGAUCUUUCCACCUUUUUCUUGUACUAAGAUUUAAAAAGCAUGUUCUGUAUUUUUUAUUUAUUUAGUAUUAUUAUUAUUAUUAUUUUUCUUUAUUACAUUACCUAGUUUCUGAUGUAAAUCUUUCCGUAGAGACAUACCCUGCUAAAAUGUAAUGUGCUAUAGCGUAUACAUCUAUUCAUUGUAUGCUGCUUCUGUAUUGUUCACCCCUCCAUAGCAUGGUGGGCCUUGCCUUCUGUAUUUUGUGUGCAUGUCAUACAGUUCCACUAAUACAACUAUCUUUCAAUAAAGAAACUAGUUUUCUUAUA
Molecule: RNA transcript, 1864 nt
Organism: Pelobates fuscus (common spadefoot toad)
Lineage: Eukaryota; Metazoa; Chordata; Amphibia; Anura; Pelobatidae
Gene: ARK2C
Gene name: arkadia (RNF111) C-terminal like ring finger ubiquitin ligase 2C
Exons: 2
Source: RefSeq, a predicted model, not a curated record